Molecule: ribosomal RNA, 472 nt
Filed under: uncultured organism
Description: partial 16S ribosomal RNA
Rfam family: Bacterial small subunit ribosomal RNA
Source: RNAcentral
ACUCCUGCGGGAGGCAGCAGUGGGGAAUUUUGGACAAUGGGCGAAAGCCUGAUCCAGCAAUGCCGCGUGCAGGAUGAAGGCCUCCGGGUUGUAAACUGCUUUUGUACGGAACGAAAAAGCUCCUUCUAAUACAGGGGGCCCAUGACGGUACCGUAAGAAUAAGCACCGGCUAACUACGUGCCAGCAGCCGCGGUAAUACGUAGGGUGCGAGCGUUAAUCGGAAUUACUGGGCGUAAAGCGUGCGCAGGCGGUUAUGUAAGACAGAUGUGAAAUCCCCGGGCUCAACCUGGGAACUGCAUUUGUGACUGCAUGGCUAGAGUACGGUAGAGGGGGAUGGAAUUCCGCGUGUAGCAGUGAAAUGCGUAGAUAUGCGGAGGAACACCGAUGGCGAAGGCAAUCCCCUGGACCUGUACUGACGCUCAUGCACGAAAGCGUGGGGAGCAAACAGGAUUAGAAACCCCGGUAGUCCCAU